RNAcentral lists this RNase P RNA (415 nucleotides) under Prevotella sp. Rep29. RNAcentral's name for it is "RNase P RNA component class A". It matches the Rfam family "Bacterial RNase P class A". Rfam says of the family: Ribonuclease P (RNase P) is a ubiquitous endoribonuclease, found in archaea, bacteria and eukarya as well as chloroplasts and mitochondria. Its best characterised activity is the generation of mature 5'-ends of tRNAs by cleaving the 5'-leader elements of precursor-tRNAs. Lineage: Bacteria; Pseudomonadati; Bacteroidota; Bacteroidia; Bacteroidales; Prevotellaceae. The record is from RNAcentral.
AUAGUGUCCCGGCUCUGCCGCUGGUUGCCUCCGCCCGCAAGAGGGUGGGGCAACGGGAGGAAAGUCCGGGCAGCACAGGGAGCUCCACUUCCGAAAUUAGAAGCUAUUGGCGACAGUAGGCUCAGGCAGAAGAGAACGACCGCCGUCCCGUGUGGGCGGUAAGGGUGAGAAGGUGGUGUAAGAGACCACCAGCCGGCGGGUGAUCGUCGGGCUGUGUCGGCUGGAGGCUGCAAGUUCAUGUAAACCAUCGUUUAUGGAGGGUGCCCGCCCAAACACGACUCCUUAGGGAACGGUGUACGAUGGAGGGUAGAACGCUAAAGCCGCAGGGUGACUUGCGGAUUAGAUAAAUGGCAGGCGCCUUGUGUCCUGAGAGGGGCAUGAGGAACAGAACCCGGCUUAUAGGGGCGCUAUUUUC